ACUUCACUAGAAGCAUUACAGGUGUGACUGCUGUGUCACAUGUGUGCCAGCAGGUGGCAGAGAGGAGCGAGAUUAUGUCUAUGCUCAGUGUUCUGACCUAUCAACAUCUGAAUGAUUAGUAGCCUGACAUU
Molecule: small nucleolar RNA, 131 nt
Organism: Arvicanthis niloticus (Nile rat)
Lineage: Eukaryota; Metazoa; Chordata; Mammalia; Rodentia; Muridae
Product: small nucleolar RNA SNORA17
Source: RefSeq, a predicted model, not a curated record